Molecule: transfer RNA, 65 nt
Filed under: Paracanthobdella livanowi
Lineage: Eukaryota; Metazoa; Annelida; Clitellata; Acanthobdellida
Description: tRNA-Arg
Source: RNAcentral
AAACAAGAAGCACCUUACUGCGCCAUGACUUCGGAUCACGGAAAGACAGCUUCUGUCCUUGUUUU